Molecule: long non-coding RNA, 963 nt
Organism: Anopheles stephensi (Asian malaria mosquito)
Lineage: Eukaryota; Metazoa; Arthropoda; Insecta; Diptera; Culicidae
Exons: 3
Source: RefSeq, a predicted model, not a curated record
UUGCAAUUAAUAUCAGCAAACUUUGGAAAAUUUAACGAUUCAUCAAUUUAAAUUAUGUAUUGUAAAUUAAGCGUCACGUUCCAUCCUUAUAUUAUGAAGGUGUUACAUUUAGACAUAAUUAUGAAACGCAUGUGUAGCUCGUAGCGUUUAAAUUACUACCUUUUCAAUUCUGAUGCACAAGCCCACAUAAUCACAGAAGAAGAAAAUGGCGUUUUGACAGAGCAAGCAAAGCUCGCAUGCAAAAGAACGAUUUUCAAUAAACCGCGCUGCGUGAUUUCAGGUGAAUUAGUGUGAAAGUGUUUUGUGAAGAUACGGCUGAGGUUCAAAUAGUCCCGGUAUUGAAAAAAGAACAGCAGUGGUGACGUACGGGAUUCUGACGCCUUUACCAUGGUCUGCGUGCGACCCUUGCUUGCUUCACCUUCUCGGCGGGGGGCGUUCCUAGAGCACGUGGGAAGGGCAACUAGUAAACAUCCGCAUCCGCAAGCCCCAAGUAAGGAAGCCAAGUGUUUUGCUAUCUUGGCGGAAACGGAAACGGCAUAAACGAUGACGGCUACUUACUAUGCGAACGAUGGAGGUAUUACACCAUUACUGAAUCCUUUGACGUGACAAAUGAUGAGUGAUGAAUGUUCCGAAGUUACAAGCAACACGUCAUCGCGCAGUUCCAGACGAACUGCGCGUUGACCUGGAGUAGUUCAUACUUUACCAAGGAUACAGAUUUAGAACAGGUUAAGCAAAGACGACGCCAACCCAAACGACCAUAACCAAUUGACUGACCAGCGCACUCGACUAGCAUGCACGCGACGCGAUGAAAUAUGAUGUGACUCUUGCGUCUCGUCUGCUUGAUUUUUCUUCGAACUCGAUACCAAGAGGUUUCAAUCUUUAAAAUUUUGUAAGAAGUUUGUAAGCUCGGGUUUAACUUCUUGUAAUAAAGGUGUUAAAAAUUCUUGAAAUACGCCAACCAUG